CUUCCUUCCUUCAGUUGUGAGCUGCAAGCUAGGCUGCAGGCCCAGGAAGAACAGCAUCAGGAAGUCCAGAAGGCAAAGGAAGCAGACAUAGAGAGGCUGAACCAGGCCUUGUGCUUGCGCUACAAGAAUGAAAAGGAGCUCCAGGAAGUGAUACAGCAGCAGAAUGAGAAGAUCCUAGAACAGAUAGACAAGAGUGGCGAGCUCAUAGUAUGUUCACCAUCAUGCCCAGGCCUUUGCCUUCUGUGUUACUGGUCAGCCAGGAUCCCAAGUAUGAGAAAUGGUUUACUUUUGUUCACCACAUGUUGUCUAUCCUUAUGUCCUAUUGGACACCUCUCCAUUCUCAUUCCCAGAGCCUUAGAGAGGAGGUGACCCACCUUACCCGCUCACUUCGGCGUGCGGAGACAGAGACCAAAGUGCUCCAGGAGGCCCUGGCAGGCCAGCUGGACUCCAACUGCCAGUCUAUGGCCACCAAUUGGAUCCAGGAGAAAGUGUGGCUCUCUCAGGAGGUGACUCAGAGUUAACAGAGGAGCUGGACAGCAGGUGGGGACCCCAGGCUGUACCCCUGUUGAUCUGGAC
RNAcentral lists this long non-coding RNA (576 nucleotides) under Pan troglodytes (chimpanzee). RNAcentral describes it as "long non-coding RNA NONPTRT006789". The record is from RNAcentral. Lineage: Eukaryota; Metazoa; Chordata; Mammalia; Primates; Hominidae.